RNAcentral lists this unclassified non-coding RNA (913 nucleotides) under Hevea brasiliensis (rubber tree). The record is from RNAcentral. Lineage: Eukaryota; Viridiplantae; Streptophyta; Magnoliopsida; Malpighiales; Euphorbiaceae.
GAGAGCACGGUCCGUUGGUGAUGCUAAGUAUGGAAAUCUACCGCCCAUCAGCUUGUCUGGACAAGGGUUCCUAGAAACAGAAUCGUGAGAGCUCUUUCUUCUUCGCUCGUUGUGACCUGCCAAUCUCCUUCUGCAGCUCCUCUUUGAGUCAUCAAACUCUGAAACUACAUGAAACCUACUACACUGUUGACAGAAGCGCUGCUCUAACCCUAGAACGAUUACUUUGGGAGCCUUGGAAUGCAUCUCACAAACUUUAUGUCUCCUGUGAUAAUCCUUGGCGUUCACCAACACCACUUGGCAACCCUCCACCUGACACCUCGGCACGUUUGCUGCAGACCCCACCCCACCAUGCGCCGACGAGGAUUGUCCAGUAUGACCACCCACGACGCUAUAGUAGGGUUUGCCUCUUUUGCCUAUGGAGAAGCCUACCUGUCGGUCAACCACGGGGAUAGUAUCUUCAAAGUAGUGCCGCUUGCCCAGCUUCAAGCACAUUAGAUGGGGGUCAGGAUGCAAGUGGGACCCUUCUCCGCCAUAAAGAGAGAGCUGCUGAUAUUGGUGAUCGAGGGGGUGGUACAGACCCUGAUGUUGAAACAUGAGCGCGUGGGCUGAAGUGGGAUCUGGGUGCGUGGAACAGAUAGUCUCUGCCGCAGAAGUUGUUGCGGCGGCGACGCUGGCGGUGAAAAACGUGGUACCAUUGCUGGAAUUGCCCCAGUCAAAUCUUGAAGAAUUAGGCUCCCACAUAUCCCAAACAAGAUUGGCAUUAGCGCUAUUUUGCCCUCUGCUACGGUUGCUGUGAGCAGUGUACAAGUUACCGUCAUUUUCCAUGACUCUUUUUCUCUAAAAUUGGCUUCUCUUUCUCUUUAGCAGUGUUUGUACUUGUACCACCUCACUCUCACUCUCUCUCUCUCUCUCU